Molecule: ribosomal RNA, 497 nt
Filed under: uncultured bacterium
Lineage: Bacteria
Description: partial 16S ribosomal RNA
Rfam family: Bacterial small subunit ribosomal RNA
Source: RNAcentral
GAUGAACGCUGGCGGCGUGCCUAAUACAUGCAAGUCGAGCGAACGGACGAGAAGCUUGCUUCUCUGAUGUUAGCGGCGGACGGGUGAGUAACACGUGGAUAACCUACCUAUAAGACUGGGAUAACUUCGGGAAACCGGAGCUAAUACCGGAUAAUAUUUUGAACCGCAGGGUUCAAAAGUGAAAGACGGUCUUGCUGUCACUUAUAGAUGGUUCCGCGUUGCAUUAGCUAGUUGGUAAGGUAACGGCUUACCAAGGCAACGAUGCAUAGCCGACCUGAGAGGGUGAUCGGCCACACUGGAACUGAGACACGGUCCAGACUCCUACGGGAGGCAGCAGUAGGGAAUCUUCCGCAAUGGGCGAAAGCCUGACGGAGCAACGCCGCGUGAGUGAUGAAGGUCUUCGGAUCGUAAAGCUCUGUUAUUAGGGAAGAACAUAUGUGUAAGUAACUGUGCACAUCUUGACGGUACCUAAUCAGAAAGCCACGGCUAACUACGUG